Molecule: ribosomal RNA, 439 nt
Filed under: uncultured bacterium
Lineage: Bacteria
Description: partial 16S ribosomal RNA
Rfam family: Bacterial small subunit ribosomal RNA
Source: RNAcentral
CUACGGGCUGCUCCAGUGAGGAAUAUUGCACAAUGGAGGAAACUCUGAUGCAGCAACGCCGCGUGGAGGAUGACGCAUUUCGGUGUGUAAACUCCUUUUAUGAGUCAAGAAAAUGACGGUAGCUCAUGAAUAAGCACCGGCUAACUCCGUGCCAGCAGCCGCGGUAAUACGGAGGGUGCAAGCGUUACUCGGAAUCACUGGGCGUAAAGGACGCGUAGGCGGGAUAUCAAGUCAGGUGUGAAAUCCUACAGCUUAACUGUAGAACUGCACUUGAAACUGGUAACCUAGAGUAUGGGAGGGGGAGAUGGAAUUAGUGGUGUAGGGGUAAAAUCCGUAGAUAUCACUAGGAAUACCUAAAGCGAAGGCGAUCUCCUGGAACAUAACUGACGCUAAGGCGUGAAAGCGUGGGGAGCAAACAGGAUUAGAUACCCGCGUAGUC